AUUGAACGCUGGCGGCAGGCCUAACACAUGCAAGUCGAGCGGAUGAAGGGAGCUUGCUCCUGGAUUCAGCGGCGGACGGGUGAGUAAUGCCUAGGAAUCUGCCUGGUAGUGGGGGAUAACGUCCGGAAACGGGCGCUAAUACCGCAUACGUCCUGAGGGAGAAAGUGGGGGAUCUUCGGACCUCACGCUAUCAGAUGAGCCUAGGUCGGAUUAGCUAGUUGGUGGGGUAAAGGCCUACCAAGGCGACGAUCCGUAACUGGUCUGAGAGGAUGAUCAGUCACACUGGAACUGACACGGUCCAGACUCCUACGGGAGGCAGCAGUGGGGAAUAUUGGACAAUGGGCGAAAGCCUGAUCCAGCCAUGCCGCGUGUGUGAAGAAGGUCUUCGGAUUGUAAAGCACUUUAAGUUGGGAGGAAGGGCAGUAAGUUAAUACCUUGCUGUUUUGACGUUACCAACAGAAUAAGCACCGGCUAACUUCGUG
RNAcentral lists this ribosomal RNA (482 nucleotides) under uncultured bacterium. Its description in RNAcentral is "partial 16S ribosomal RNA". It matches the Rfam family "Bacterial small subunit ribosomal RNA", at positions 30 to 507 of the family's 1533-position model. The record is from RNAcentral.